This 947-nucleotide long non-coding RNA is filed under the name Androctonus crassicauda. The record is from RNAcentral. Lineage: Eukaryota; Metazoa; Arthropoda; Arachnida; Scorpiones; Buthidae.
GAUUUUGGCUUUGAUAAAAAAAACAAAACAAUAGAUAACAUGGGUAAGACUAGGUGAUUUUUAGUUUUGUACAAUUUAAACAAUUUAUACAAUAAAAAGAUCAACACAUUGCAAGAAUAUUUUUUUGCCAAACAAAAUAGCUCAGAACUUCACAAUUCAAUUGUUUUUGCAGAUUGCAAAUACACACUACUUAAUCAGAAAUGAUAAUACUAAAAAUGCCUUUUCUAGUAAUUGAACCUUCUGAUUCCAAGAUCAAAAUUUACAGAAAUUUCAGUCUUGGAGUUAGAAAGUUCAUGGAAAGCACUACUGAAAUCUGGAAUAGCAAAGAUUGAUAGGAAAGCAUCAAAUUCUUAGCUUAUCCAUAAUAAUCAGUUCCCUGAAACUGAAAGAUUGAUGACUGCAAUAUUCAUAUGAAAAAAGUUACUAAAAACAUAUUUUAAAGGGCAUUUCAGUUGAUGAUAAAUACACACAUUAUAUGACCAAUGAAAACAAUCUAAUGCAUAAUUUCUAUGCAAAUUCUUUACAUAGAAAUUAUGCAUUGGAUCAAGUCAUUAGGUUCAUUCAAUCAGAAAUUAGCAACAAAUUACAAAUCAAAAUUGCAAACAAUUUAUAUUGCAAAUAUAUUUCUGAAAUAGUUCUAGAGAACACAAUACACAAAUUGUAUUGGGACAGAACAGAAUUCACAAACAUAACAACAGAUCAGAUAUCAUUCUGAUUAACAAUCAGCAGAAAACUCUACUACAGAUUUCUGUUGCUUGAGACAUUAUUAUCCAAGAGAAGUUCUCACUUAAAUCUGUGUAUGUUUUGUUAUCACUAGCACAAAUAAUUUAGAUUCAACACAUACUGCCAAAAAUGCUAAGUAUACAAAAAGAAUAGUGGCAUAUAAACAAAAUACUCACAGUUCUAAUUGUUUUAUUGUCAUUACUAUUGUUCCCACAACACUGCAU